Molecule: ribosomal RNA, 1392 nt
Filed under: uncultured bacterium
Lineage: Bacteria
Description: 16S ribosomal RNA
Rfam family: Bacterial small subunit ribosomal RNA
Source: RNAcentral
UCCUGGCUCAGGAUGAACGCUGGCUGUGUGCCUAAUACAGUGCAUGUCGAGCGGAAGUAGCAAUACUUUAGCGGCGAAUGGGUGAGUAACACGUGCUUAAUCUACCUCUUAGAUUGGAAUACCUAAUGGAAACAUUGGUUAAUGCCGGAUACGCAUGGAGUCGCAUGACUCCGUUGUGAAAGGGGCCUUUAAAGCUCCACUAAGAGAUGAGGGUGCGGAACAUUAGCUAGUUGGUGAGGUAACGGCCCACCAAGGCUAUGAUGUUUAGCCGGGUCGAGAGACUGAACGGCCACAUUGGGACUGAGAUACGGCCCAAACUCCUACGGGAGGCAGCAGUAGGGAAUAUUCCACAAUGAGCGAAAGCUUGAUGGAGCGACACAGCGUGCACGAUGAAGGUCUUAUGGAUUGUAAAGUGCUGUUGCAAGGGAAGAAAAAGUAGUUGAGGAAAUGCUUCUACAUUGACGGUGCCUUGUUAGAAAGCGAUGGCUAACUAUGUGCCAGCAGCCGCGGUAAUACAUAGGUCGCAAGCGUUAUCCGGAAUUAUUGGGCGUAAAGCGUUCGUAGGCUGUUUAUUAAGUCUGGAGUCAAAUCCCAGGGCUCAACCCUGGCUCGCUUUGGAUACUGGUAAACUAGAGUUGGAUAGAGGUAAGCGGAAUUCCAUGUGAAGCGGUGAAAUGCGUAGAUAUAUGGAAGAACACCAAAAGGCGAAGGCAGCUUACUGGGUUUAUACUUGACGCUGAGGAACGAAAGCGUGGGGAGCAAACAGGAUUAGAUACCCUGGUAGUACACGCCGUAAACGAUGAUCAUUAGUCGGCAGAGAACUGUUGACGCAGCUAACGCAUUAAAUGAUCCGCCUGAGUAGUAUGCUCGCAAGAGUAAAACUUAAAGGAAUUGACGGGGACCCGCACAAGCGGUGGAGCAUGUGGUUUAAUUUGAAGAUACGCGGAGAACCUUACCCACUCUUGACAUCCUUCGCAAAGCUAUAGAGAUAUAGUGGAGGUUAACGGAGUGACAGAUGGUGCAUGGUUGUCGUCAGCUCGUGUCGUGAGAUGUUUGGUCAAGUCCUGCAACGAGCGCAACCCCUAUCUUUAGUUACUAACGAGUCAUGUCGAGGACUCUAGAGAUACUGCCUGGGUAACUGGGAGGAAGGUGGGGAUGACGUCAAAUCAUCAUGCCUCUUACGAGUGGGGCAACACACGUGCUACAAUGGUCGGUACAAAGAGAAGCAAUAUGGUGACAUGGAGCAAAUCUCAAAAAGCCGAUCUCAGUUCGGAUUGAAGUCUGCAAUUCGACUUCAUGAAGUCGGAAUCGCUAGUAAUCGCAGAUCAGCUAUGCUGCGGUGAAUACGUUCUCGGGUCUUGUACACACCGCCCGUCACACCAUGGGAGCUGG